Molecule: long non-coding RNA, 2817 nt
Filed under: Mus musculus (house mouse)
Lineage: Eukaryota; Metazoa; Chordata; Mammalia; Rodentia; Muridae
Description: small nucleolar RNA host gene 17
Rfam family: Small nucleolar RNA SNORA71 (bases 1266-1378)
Source: RNAcentral
UUUGUUCUUCCGCCAGCGCCCAUCGUGAAGACCACAGUUUCCUGUCGCGUGGAUGUGUUUCCUCUCUGGCCAUUGCCAUCCGCCCAAAUCUACAGACAUCCCGCAUGUUCCCGGGCUCGUCUCCCCAAUACAGGGCACCAAGGCUGUAGACUGCGCAGCCCUCCUGGAGACAGAUGGAAGCUCCUUGGGUCGACAGAUUACAGCUUCUGGAACCCCCUACUCCCUUCAACUCCGAGAUGGACACCCACUGUCCAGGGAGAGGAUGCCUGGAAAUAACAGCUGGGAUCUACAGUGGCCAAAGAGUUGUCUCCGUCUUGCUACAUCGACAAACUGGUGCUCCUGAGUGAGGAUUGUGCCCUGGGAUGGGGGAUUCAGUUUCUUCAUUUAUAGUUGGAAGUGGGUGAAGUGCCAGGAGCGACGGUACACUCCAGAGUGCUGUGCCCUGAUGGGCCUUUGAGUGGCCAGUGCAGUGGAUCAUCAGCCCUGUCUCCCAAGAGCUCCAGUCCCUUCUCCGGAGAGGAAGUGGGUCCACUGGCAGCUCAGGAGGCCAUAGCAGGUAAGUCAUACACUUGCUACUGUUCAGAGGCCUCAUCAAGAGAUUGGAGUUUGAGAGAAUGUAAGGAUGGCUCUGUCCAGUCUGGAGCCCCAGCCUUUGAGUCCCUAGAGUUUCCUGUAGUAUUUUCUGCCUCUUUGGGGGCGGGGAAGAUGAGUGGGGAGUGGUGUGUGGAUCCUCCCACCUAGGUCGUGCAUGGGUAAGUGUGAGGCCUUUCCAGUGUUAGUGAAUUGUAAGGGCAAGGGAGUGGACGUAGGCAUUGAAGACACUUGUAUAUGCCACGGUCUCCCUCUUUUUGUCAUUGUGUUGGGUAGCAGUGACUUGUUAGCAGUGGAGGGAAAAGUCAUAGUUGAACGAUGGAGAGUUAGGGUGGUCCGGAGCACCUAUCUGCUCUGGCUCUUUGAGGCCCCUCCCUUCCCGUUCAUUCUUCUGCCAGUGGCAGAAGUGCACCCACGUGUGUGCCUUGCUUCUGCCCUGGAAAGCUGGGCCUCAGCCUAGACAUCAGGUGACUAGCUGUUACCUAGCUAGUCCCCAGAUUCCACCUUAAUUAAGCAGCCUUACCUGUUUUGAUCUUCCAUUUCCUGACUUGGAAAACUAAAGCUAAGACAAAGGUUUUUCAGGACUGACUCCCCCUUCUUCUUGGCAGAUUGUGGGGCUCUGUGCAGUUGAUGUUAGUUAACCACUGGAUCCACGUGUUCACCGUGGCUUGCGCCCCUGCAUCCGAAAGUGAUCUUGGCUGCCGUGUCCUGGUCAUUGGUAGUGCAGGGAAAGGAUGCGGAAAGACGGGCUCCGAGCUCGGGGCGUCUGGCCUGGAGCUUUCCUACACUUGUGUCUUGCUCUGCAGCCUUACGGAAGUGUGGGUGGCGCUUUCUGGAAGCUGCACAAGUCAGUGCUGGGUCUUCGCAACUUGGUGUUCUGUUUCCAGAAACUUGGGGUGUUUGCAUGUGCUAGGUCAGCACAGAUUUCCAAAGGAUCUCUAGGUGGGUUCCCUAACUUUUCACAGAGGAGCAGAAGGUAGAUGACAGGAGGAGAGGUGGGGCUGGACUGAGGGGAGCUGUGUGUGCCAGGGUGGGGUGGGGCGGGGCGUGUAACAGCCCUUAAGCGUGUGUUGAGAGAAGGAGCUCCCUGGUACAGAGUGUGCAGCUCCCUUCCCAGCCUGUGGUCCCCGUGGCCCAAUGAGUUUUUGUAUCACUUGUGAGCCACUGGUCUUAAAAUGCAUGGUUUGCAGACCAAAAUGCAGUCCAACAUUAUUUGUUUCAUGUGUCUAUGUGAAUGCACAUAUGUAUGUAUGUCAUUUGUGCCUGGUGCCUGUGAAGAGUUUAUUGGGGGCUAGGAAUUUCAGAGGGUGACUCUUCAGGAUCUAUAUGGCUUCAGGCACGGCCAUGUUGGACAGUAGCUGGGAGCUCACAUACGUGAUAGGACCACCAGGCAGGGAGCUAACUGAAUGGCAUGGGCUUUUGGAGCCUCAAAGCUCUCCUGCCCCACCCCCAUGAUACCUCCACUAACAAGGCCAUACUUCCUAAUGGUCCCAAGCAGUUCUACCAACUAGGGACCAAAUAUUCAAGUAUAUGAGCCUAUAGGUGGAGGAACUUCCACACAGAUCCAAACUUUUAACAAAACAAAAAGCAGGAAAGCCAACUUUAUCAGAAGUUACAAUGUAAUCAGUGUCAGAAGGAAGAGAAUGGAAGUGGGAGACUGAGGUGGGGGGUAUGCUGAGGAUAUGGGAAGUGGGAGAUUGCGUGGGGGGGGGCUGAGGGUGUGGCUUUCAGUUGAGUGUCCAGCAUGGGAGGAGAAAGGGGGCUCUGGGAAGAAGCUGCUGCAGCCACCUUGUGUUCCCCCCACCCCCAGCUAAUAGCUGUGUCUUGGUUCCUGGUGAGAUCUUGGUUGACUCGGGGGUCCUGAGUGUGGCUUGUCUCUGCAGGAUUGUCACGUGUGCUCAACAGUCCUCCUCGGCUUUCCAGAAGAGGCUGGAACAGGGCCCUUGAAGAUGUUUGUGGACAUCAGAGGGCCAAAGACGACACAAAGUGAAACUGGAGACACCGCCCCCCCUUGGCAUCAUGAAACUGCCGAUGUUACUGGCUCAUGCAUGGGAGACACCAGCAUACAAAGUCUUGACACCAACACCUCAGAGGGCUGUGUUCUGUCCCCGUGACCAUCAUCUAGUGCCUGGAAAGACUAGUGACAAGAACUUGUUGCCAACUUCCUAUUACCUCCCUAACAGUUGUGCAAUAAACCCCAUAGGUUAAUUCAGUCUGCCUUUUAAA